Long non-coding RNA from Meriones unguiculatus (Mongolian gerbil), 833 nucleotides. RefSeq lists it as uncharacterized. Lineage: Eukaryota; Metazoa; Chordata; Mammalia; Rodentia; Muridae. The transcript is spliced from 5 exons. The record is from RefSeq and is a predicted model, not a curated record.
GAGACAGAAAACAAGGAAAGGGAAGUUUUGUUUCAGGCUCCUCGCUGCUUCAGGAUGCAAGUUCUGCAAACACCUGCACUGGGACAGCGUUUCCGGGGAAGGUCCUCACACUAGCUCACAAAUCUAAGGGAACAGAUGGUUUAUCCGGGCUUGCAGUUCGAGUUCGAGUUCAUCAUGGUGAGAAAGUCAAGGCAGGAAGAUCUUGAAGCUCCCCAGCACAUCCACACACAGGAUCAGAGCAAAGACUGCUUCCUAGUGCUCAGCUCCCUCGGUCUGUUUGUACAGUCAAGGGUACCCUGAAGAGAAAACAGUCUUGCUCAUAGUGAAGAUGGAUCUUUGUACAUCAGUUAAUAUGAACAAGACAAUGCUCCAUAAGCAUAGCCAGAGGCCAGUCUUGCAGUGUCUGCUUGGAGGAACAGGUGGAAGAUGACCUCAGUGAAUCGGCCAAGCCAGCAUCUGGACCUCAAAGAGACCAGAAGUUUCCAUUCCUCUUGAGGAUCCUCUGGACAAAGCCCUCAGCCCUGUUUUCUCCAAUCAAAUGUAUGAUGAUCUGUCUAUGUGGCUCUGACUGUCCGGAAAAUAUGUAAACCAGGCUGCCCUUGAACCUGUCACAUUUUCCUUUUAUAAAACAGUAAGAAAACUGUUACACACAACAAGUCAACCAUUCCUUGGACUUUGCAUGGAGAAAAUGAAUAUGUUUUAUAUAGUAAAGGCUACAUGCUGUUUUCACUAAUCAUUUCUUUUCAGAAAUGAAGAGAUUAUUUACUAUUUACCCAAUGAGUCUAGAUGCCCCUCAGUCUCCUGGUUGAAGGAAAAUAAAUUAUAUGCUAUUG